This 492-nucleotide ribosomal RNA is filed under the name uncultured bacterium. RNAcentral's name for it is "partial 16S ribosomal RNA". It matches the Rfam family "Bacterial small subunit ribosomal RNA", at positions 29 to 507 of the family's 1533-position model. The record is from RNAcentral.
AGUGAACGCUGGCGGUAGGCCUAACACAUGCAAGUCGAACGGCAGCACAGUAAGAGCUUGCUCUUACGGGUGGCGAGUGGCGGACGGGUGAGGAAUACAUCGGAAUCUACUUUUUCGUGGGGGAUAACGUAGGGAAACUUACGCUAAUACCGCAUACGACCUACGGGUGAAAGCAGGGGAUCUUCGGACCUUGCGCGGUUGAAUGAGCCGAUGUCGGAUUAGCUAGUUGGCGGGGUAAAGGCCCACCAAGGCGACGAUCCGUAGCUGGUCUGAGAGGAUGAUCAGCCACACUGGAACUGGGACACGGUCCAGACUCCUACGGGAGGCAGCAGUGGGGAAUAUUGGACAAUGGGCGCAAGCCUGAUCCAGCCAUACCGCGUGGGUGAAGAAGGCCUUCGGGUUGUAAAGCCCUUUUGUUGGGAAAGAGAAGCAGCAGGUUAAUACGCCGCUGUUCUGACGGUACCCAAAGAAUAAGCACCGGCUAACUUCGUG